GAUGGUCAAUUCAUGGUGGCUGCUGAACCAGCAGAUUUCGUUCACGUGUAUAGUACACGUGCUGAUUAUGAGAAAAGACAAGAGAUUGACUUCUUUGGGGAGAUUUCGGGAGUAUCUCUGAGUCCAGACGAUGAAUCUUUGUAUAUAGGAAUAUGGGACAGAACGUAUGCAAGUUUGCUGCAAUACAACAAAAGACACACGUAUGCAUACUUAGAUUCGUACUUGUGAUAAUGUUAAACUGCGUGCUGUUGUAGUUAUGGAGCCCUCUUUUGUGUUCUGUUUUGUUUGUGUAGGGUGAUUUGAAUGAAGAUCAAAUAUUCUAUGACAGUAGAAUAAGUGUAUGUUGUGUAAGAACUUUGCUAGAAAGGUGCGUGUACAGUACAAUCUCAUCCUUUAAAUCAUAUGCUAUUUGUAUGAUUGAUUUUCUGUUCUUAAAUGUAAGUUAAUAAUAGAGUAAAAUUAACUUGCUUGGAUAUUCAGAAGCGGCUGUCUGCCGGUUUUUCACGCCCUUUCUCUUUCUCUUCCACUCCCUGCCAUUCCAUUCUUCAGUUUGCUUUGCAGAUUUUUGUGUGAUUUGACAGAUUCUGAUCUCAUGCUAAUAUAAUUAUAAUAUUUUCUGAAUUUAAUGGCUAUUUUUAAAUUAUUUUUCCAACUAUUUUAAAUUUAGAACUAUAAAUGUAAUUUUUUGAUUACUAAUUUUAUUAGCUUAAUGCGGUACUUCAGCUUGUCACUUUUUUUUAAUAUGAUAUUUGUGUUAGUUUUUGGUUCAAUGUGGUCCAAUAGUUGUAUUUAAAGGAAACAAUAUUGACUUUUUAGUUUAAUUUGAGUUUGAAUUGAUUUAAUGAAAAUUUAUAAUUAUUUUAUGAUAUUAACAAUUAAUUUUUAUCAAAACCCUAGAAUUUGAAUUAAAUUAUAUUUAAAUGAAUUGUAUUUGAUAAGUUAAGUGUAAAAUUAAACAAAUUCACAAUAACAUUAAAUUUAUUCUAUUAACAAAAUAAUAAAAAAUUUUCAAUAGAAUAAUAUUAGCAAUUAACUUUCAUUAAAUAAAAUUUAAAGCCUGAAUUAAAUACUAAAAAAUUAGCACCAUUACCUUUGGGUAAUAAUAUAUAUAUAUAUAUAUAUAUAUAUAUAUAUUCAAAUAUAGACACUAGAUUGACCAAAAAAUAAUAGAGGUACCACAUCAAAAAAAGUAUCAAAAUCAGGUACCAAACAUAUAUUAAACCAAUUUUAUUUAAUUUUGGGACUAAUUGAAUUUAAAUAUAAAAUUAUAAAUUAUCAUGAAUAUACAUUUAUGAUUAUAAAUUUAUUGAAUUAUUCAUUUACCUUUUGUAAGUAAAAUUUUAAAAUUUAACUUCUAUAAUAAGUUCACUUUGAUGAAUUAGAGCUUUAGGUUAUUCUAUUAGUUUAUUUCAUUAUUUUUUUUAUAUUUUUGUACAUUAUUUAGUUUUUAUUUGAUCCCAUUUGGUUGUGUUUUUUUUUUCUUUUCUAAUCUUCCAUAUGUUUAUGAUGUUUAACUAAUUUUUUUUUAUUUUUAAAAUUUGAGAGAUAGGGCUUUGUUAAACGUUUUUUUUUUACAAUUUUUUUAUAAUUAUUUUAUUAUCAAAUUGUUUUUUUUCCUCGGCAAAAAGCAGUUUAUUUCAUUAAUAAAUAAUUAAGAAAGAAAGACACUCACCACGGCCUGCAAAAAACCUAAAGCCCAAUAUAACAACAACAUUAAAAUGACAUUAUGUCCUUAAAUGAUUUCGUAUUUGAAUGUAUAUUUUAAAUUUAUUGAUAUAAAUUUGAUUUUUUUUCUCUGAGAACUCUUUUUUCAUAUUCUCAAUUUAUAUUUUAUAAAAUUUUAUUAUGUAAAUAAUAUUUGUAUAAGAUUCUAAAACUCUUAUACAAAAACAAUGAUUUUUAUAAUCACGAAUAAAAUUAGAUUUUGAAAUGUGUAAAUUGCUAUAUGUGGUACAUCUUUCUUUAUUUACUUUUAUCUUUGAAAUUUUAUAAAAUAAAAGUAGUUUAUAGUAAAACUUGUUUAAAUUAAAAUUCGAGAUCAUGUAGGACUAAUAAUGGGAGCAUGCACUUACUCAAUUAAAAAUGUCUUGGCCCCAGCAAUGGCAGAAGUGCAUGCAUGUCAAGAAGCAGUGCAAUUUGUAGAAGAGAUUGGUUUUCGUCGAAUCACGGUGGAAGGAGAUGCAUUGACAGUAAUAAAAAAGGUAAUAUCAAAAGACGAAGACCAAUCAGUAUUAAGCACAGUGAUUAAAACAAUUAAAACAAACGUCUAAAAAUUUGAAGAGAUAAAUUUUAGAUUCGUACUCAGAGAAGCAGAUGCCGCGGCGCGUGGAUUGGCUCAGGAAGGCAAGAGGUUUGAAACAGUCAGGUAUUGGAUAGAAGAGGCCCCGGAGAGAGUGGAAGAGUUGGUGACAGAGGACAGAAGGCGAAUGCAGAAGGGAGGAAAUGGUGGACUUAUGGAGUAAAGUUGGGAUGAAAAAGAAGUUACAAAGCCCGUGGAGUGUCAAAUCUGAAAUAGGAAAGCAAUCAGGACCAUAAGAUGAUCAUCAGAAUGGGAUGAAAGGUUGCAAGAUUUAGGUUGUCGAAAUAACCACUGAUUGAAUCGAUUGUGGGUAGAAAUAAGAACUGUUCAAUUACCUUUUUUAUGAAGACUUAGGUUUUUUGUUUGCUUUAGGAUUUUCUUAAUUAGGGUGAGCCAACCUUAUUGGGCAAUUAGGAUGAGAUGCCAUUUAUUUCUUUAUCAGAGGGUGUAAAAAAAGACAUUACUUAUUAAUAAAUUAGUGGAAAUUUCUAUUGAA
Molecule: long non-coding RNA, 2795 nt
Filed under: Gossypium barbadense (sea-island cotton)
Lineage: Eukaryota; Viridiplantae; Streptophyta; Magnoliopsida; Malvales; Malvaceae
Description: long non-coding RNA (GBAR_LNC009298)
Source: RNAcentral